RNAcentral lists this small RNA (420 nucleotides) under Grosmannia penicillata. RNAcentral's name for it is "eukaryotic LSU rRNA". The stretch from base 72 to 225 matches the Rfam family "5.8S ribosomal RNA". Lineage: Eukaryota; Fungi; Ascomycota; Sordariomycetes; Ophiostomatales; Ophiostomataceae. The record is from RNAcentral.
CGGAGGACCAGCGGCCGCACUCUGAACCUCUUCGUAUACUGAGCAGUCUGAGAAAAACCAUGAAUCGUUAAAACUUUCAACAACGGAUCUCUUGGUUCUGGCAUCGAUGAAUAACGCAACGAACUGCGAUAAGUAAUGUGAAUUGCAGAAUUCAGUGAAACAUCGAAUCUUUGAACGCACAUUGCGCCCGCCAGCAUUCUGGCGGGCAUGCCUGUCCGAGCGUCAUUUCCACCCUCACGCGCCCCUUUAGUGCGUGGUGUUGGGGCAUACUGCGGCUGCCGCGAGGCACCGCAUGCCCUGAAACCCAGUGGCGGGCCGGCAGAACGCUCCGAGCGCAGUAAGCAUCACGCCCUCGCUCCGGACGCCCCUGCUGGCAGCUCGCCCUGCGGCGGAAACGCUUGCACCAACCAUCUUAAAGGU